Long non-coding RNA from Pecten maximus, 579 nucleotides. RefSeq lists it as uncharacterized. The record is from RefSeq and is a predicted model, not a curated record. Lineage: Eukaryota; Metazoa; Mollusca; Bivalvia; Pectinida; Pectinidae. The transcript is spliced from 3 exons.
AAUGUUGUCGGGGAGUCGACUAUAACAACCAGUGUUACUGUACAGUAUGGACCUGGAGACAGUGUUGUAUUUGAUCCACCACAAGACAGUGUAGAUAUUAUUGAGAAUCAGACCAUCUCAGAUGUCAGGUGUUCCGCUGACUGUAGACCAGCGUGUGCCUACACCUGGUCUAGAUCAGGUACAGAUUACACAAACCCACUGAGUCUGUCUGUGGCCACGAGGACCAACGCCGGACAAUACACGUGUACAGCCAGAAACACUGUCAGUCAGGGAACAAAGACUUGGAACCUUAUUGUCAGAUUUCCACCACGAAUUCUCAGUCUUGAUUACACUGACGGUAAUUCUGACGUGGCUGAAAAUGGACCUAAGUCGCUAGUGUGUACGGUGGAGAGCUUCCCUCCGUCCACAAUACAGUGGUUCUAUAAAGCCAACAACACAGUUCUACUGACCACCCCAGACGUCCUGGAGAGUAGCUACACCCUGACUAACGCUGAAUGUCUGGACACCGGACUCUACACCUGUUCUGUCAGAAACAGUGUCUCUAACACAGCAGUCACCAGGGAUAUAUCUGUCAACGUU